CACAGAAGAACACAACUUGUUGGGCAAAAGUCAACAUGGAUUCUGUAAAAGCAAAUCAUGUCUUGCUAAUCUGUUAGAGUUCUUUGACGGGGUCAACAGACAUGUGGACAAGGGGGAUCCAGUGGGCAUAAGCCUUCUGGAAAACUU
This is a non-coding RNA of Chelonoidis abingdonii (Abingdon island giant tortoise), 147 nucleotides long. Lineage: Eukaryota; Metazoa; Chordata; Testudines; Testudinidae. The record is from RefSeq and is a predicted model, not a curated record.